UGCGUAGGUGGUCUAUUAAGUUGGAUGUGAAACCCCCGGGCUUAACCUGGGAACUGCAUCCAAUACUGGAAGACUAGAGUGCAGGAGAGGAAAGCGGAAUUCCUAGUGUAGCGGUGAAAUGCGUAGAUAUUAGGAGGAACACCAGUGGCGAAGGCGGCUUUCUGGACUGUAACUGACACUGAGGCACGAAAGCGUGGGUAGCAAACA
This 207-nucleotide ribosomal RNA is filed under the name uncultured bacterium. RNAcentral describes it as "partial 16S ribosomal RNA". It matches the Rfam family "Bacterial small subunit ribosomal RNA", at positions 568 to 774 of the family's 1533-position model. The record is from RNAcentral.